UGGUACGGUUCCGUUCUGUUCCGCCUUGGCGCCCUUGGCCGCGGGGGCAAUGUUUUUGUUUUCGUUCUACGUUCAGGUGUUGAGUGGCGACGUAUUAACCGUCGAUAACCAGCUGAAGCAGCUCAAGUUCUCUAGUGGAACGAGGUUGACCGUGCGCAGUGGCAGCCGUUGACAACAAAAACAAUGUAUGCACUCAGCUUCGCCGGAUGAGUGCCGGCGUCGAUCGCGAACCGCCAGAGCCGCCAAAUACCUCUCGUACAUCUCCAAGAACACCAAGAACAGGAGGUAUUCAUAAAGGUCUGAACCACGCGAGGAUCGUCUCGAAGCAUGGUAGCCUCAACAGACGCUUGCCGCCACACGCGAGGAGAAAGCAGGAGGCCCGAAGUUUGAAUGUGAAGAGGAGGUGCGAAGAGCUGGCCCUCACUUUUUCAAGGCAGCCGCAGAACACUACGAGCCCCGAAUCACUGCCGCGGCUGACUCACGCGGAUGCUGUGCUGCACCCUGCACUGCACAUGGUUCGAAGCACACUUCAGGGGACCAGUGCAUGCCCCUGAUGCAUCGUCGCGGUCCCGGGGAUCAUGGCAUCGAUGAGCUCGCUUUCGCCUUGUCCAAGGUAGCAGCGGAACACUACGGGCAGGCCCGGAGUCACCGUACCGGCUGGCUCACGGGCGUCGUCCUGUACUCUGCACGGCACUGCGUGUGGCUUAACCGGCCAAGCAGAGGGUCACUGCAUGACCUUUAUGAGGCGUCGCUAGCCAUUGUAAGUAUAUUUUGGACGCUCGUGUCAGGGGAUGUACUUUUGUGUUCUACAACAGAACAUGUUUGGUGGCGGUUCAGUCUUGCCAAUUCAGCUAUUUCGAAACAUAAUUUUGUGGCGACUCGGCUUAGGUUUUCUGGCUCGGCCGUCUUUUGCACCAGUGUCUAGGCUCGGCGUAAGCCUCUUUGUUCUUUAUUGUCAAGGCUAGUGUAAUUUCUGCUACGCCGUCGAAGCAACUUCUGCAUGCGAACAAGAUGCAAGACGAAGCUACAUGCUCGUGCACAGUGCAUGACCACAUGUGAAAACUAAUAGCGAGUUUGUUUCGCUGCACUCGUGCCCAUGCGCACCCACUCGCAACAUGAAGUGAGUUUGUUUCGCCGCCGGCACUCCACACGUGCAUGCGCUCGCAGCACCCUGAGAAUUAAGUGUGUACCUGAAUGCACUCCCGUCAUGCAUCACUUAGGCAGGGAACAAGAGCAGAUGACUGGUUUGUCCACCAUGCGGGACAGUAGAACUGCAGAAAAAGUGAAUUUCUGCUAAAAAAAUGAUGUCCCACGAGCAACAAAAUCGGACACGAGCUUGAAUUGUGUGUCUGCUAUUCUAUAAAGCAAGCAAUCCACAACCUGUGCUUAAUUUGCAAGUUUUCAGUCAUUUUGUUGCCGUACAGACGUCCAAAUACACCGGUGGAUAAAGAAAGGUUCAGAACGAACAUCAGCCACCGCGAGAUAUCUCUCACCAUCCGUGCGGGGCUAAAGAGUUGGGACGUUAGUUGACAAAGCUUGCCCGGCAGAAACCUGCGACGCGUCCAAUCGGGAGCCGAGAAAGCUAAACUGCUUUUACCCGAGGCUUGGAUAAAAUCACAGUGUUUAAAAAGGAGCCAUGGAAUUUAUUUUGGGUGGGAUAAAUUAAUUUAGAUUCGUAUUUUGCUAAUACAGUUGAACCUUUCAAGAACGAAAUUCUCGCGGCAACGAAGAAAUCUGGCGGCCCCAGCGAACGUCCAUAGGGUUCAAUGCAUUUGCACCCUCUCAACAGCAAAGAGUUUUUAAAAAGCAGUCCCGCAUUAACGAAAGUUUGAGGUAGUGAUCUGCCAUAGAGUUAUUCAAUGUGUCUACCAAGUUGGCAUUUUCAAAUUCCCUGAGUUUUUCAGGUUUCCCCUGAGUACUUUUGUGAAAUUCCCUGAGUGACACAGAACUUUGUUUUAGGUCAAGAUGGGCGGACACCAUGUCGCCAGAUGCUGUCACUCUCUAAAAAGCAUGUCAUAAAAUAAAAUAACAACACAAUACA
This 2041-nucleotide unclassified non-coding RNA is filed under the name Ixodes scapularis (black-legged tick). RNAcentral describes it as "uncharacterized LOC115332655, transcript variant X7". Lineage: Eukaryota; Metazoa; Arthropoda; Arachnida; Ixodida; Ixodidae. The record is from RNAcentral.